UGUGUACUUGUGGAGACGGGGUC
This 23-nucleotide non-coding RNA is filed under the name Arabidopsis thaliana (thale cress). Lineage: Eukaryota; Viridiplantae; Streptophyta; Magnoliopsida; Brassicales; Brassicaceae. The record is from RNAcentral.